GAUGAACGCUGGCGGCGUGCCUAAUACAUGCAAGUCGAGCGAACAGACGAGGAGCUUGCUCCUCUGACGUUAGCGGUGGACGGGUGAGUAACACGUGGAUAACCUACCUAUAAGACUGGGAUAACUUCGGGAAACCGGAGCUAAUACCGGAUAAUAUAUUGAACCGCAUGGUUCAAUAGUGAAAGACGGUUUUGCUGUCACUUAUAGAUGGAUCCGCGCCGCAUUAGCUAGUUGGUAAGGUAACGGCUUACCAAGGCAACGAUGCGUAGCCGACCUGAGAGGGUGAUCGGCCACACUGGAACUGAGACACGGUCCAGACUCCUACGGGAGGCAGCAGUAGGGAAUCUUCCGCAAAGGGCGAAAGCCUGACGGAGCAACGCCGCGUGAGUGAUGAAGGUCUUCGGAUCGUAAAACUCUGUUAUUAGGGAAGAACAAAUGUGUAAGUAACUAUGCACGUCUUGACGGUACCUAAUCAGAAAGCCACGGCUAACUACGUG
This 497-nucleotide ribosomal RNA is filed under the name uncultured bacterium. Its description in RNAcentral is "partial 16S ribosomal RNA". It matches the Rfam family "Bacterial small subunit ribosomal RNA", at positions 28 to 507 of the family's 1533-position model. The record is from RNAcentral.